GCAUCAUCUUGGAUUAGACGAGCAACAAACUCUUCUGUUUUCAACUGCAAAAAUAUAACGGAUGAAAGAAUUUACCAAAAUAAGAAUUUGGGGGCUUGAGAACCCUCUUUCAGAACAUCUUCUGGGACACAUCAACCAACAGCAGCAUGUAGCACAGCUUUUGUUUUGCUCGAAGAUGACUGGAAUCAGUUACGUCUCCCGAGGUUGUUGGCAGGGUGGCUCCAUACCUGGGAAGCCAGGAGGAAGCUAUGAAGCGUCUCUUGAGAGCAACCAAGUCUGAGAUCAUCCACGUUCUUCCAGAGGAGGCCCUGUGGGAACACCUGAAGACCAUAAAUGGGCACAUUUAACACUAGGUCGAUUUAGAGAUGGUGAAAUAAAAAAUGU
This 384-nucleotide long non-coding RNA is filed under the name Canis lupus dingo (dingo). RNAcentral's name for it is "lncRNA (ENSCAFG00020009940.1)". Lineage: Eukaryota; Metazoa; Chordata; Mammalia; Carnivora; Canidae. The record is from RNAcentral.